GCUGGCAGCCCUACUUUAUAGGGAAAUGUUUACGAUCGGCACGCCGGCCGAACGUUCAGCCGGACGCUCGCUGUGCGUUAGAUCCAUAUGGAUGGAACGCAUCAGCUCGACCUUUUCUGGGUCUAUGCACCGCUUUUAGCCAGCCUUAUCUUCUCAGUUCUCACCAGAACACCGUCCUCCACUCGUUUUCUUUCCUGUCUCUCCUUCGUUCUUCCCAAAUCGAUCCCUUUUUAGCUCCCCUCGCCAUGAACUCCACACCACCAUGGAUGCAGCCUUCAAGCACCCCCCCUCCCUCCCCUCUCUACCUCCCUACUGAAGCGCGUCCUCACCACCUAGGUGGCGACGAGCUGCUCUGUGCCCUCCCCCGUCCCUGUGAGCUUGAGGCGACGGCGCUCGCACACCAUGCGGACGUGACACCAUUUUUUUGCAAGACGCCAUACUUCUUGCUAUGACUUUGUUUUUUAUUUUUAGCUGGUUGCAACUUUUUGAUUUGUCGGUUCCAGCUUUUUAUUUUGCCGGUUGUAGCAAUUUCAUCCAUGAGCAUCAAUCUUUGAUUCGUUGGUUCCAACAUUUUUUCCCAUCGGCAGUAGCUUUUCACUUUGCUGGUUCCAACUUUUGAUUUCGCCGGUCACAACAACCCCCCUUUUUCGAGAGUAGCAAAUCUUUGAUUCAUAGGUUGUAGCAUUUUAUUUCGUCAAUAGUAGCUUUUUGCUGGAGGAAGGGGAUCGAUGAAGAAUUUUUUGGCUACAACCAUGUACCACAGAAGCUUCAACCAUGUGUGCUGCGAGCUGUGUACACUAGAGCUACAACCGGAGACGCCCGUCGCCGACGAGGCUGCAACCAGCACGGGCGGUGCAACCGGUGUCCAGCGAGCUGCAAGCGACACAACGGCAAGCUUCAAACCUUGUGGGUCACCAUGCCGGUGAUGGUGACCAUACCGGUGAGGGGAGCUGCAACCAUGGUGGUGAGGUGUUGGAACCGUCUUUUAUUUUUGCUACGACCAGCCACAUGUUUUGCUACAUUUCGGUGACGGAGAUCCAUGGUUUUGCUGGAACUGGCAUUUGUUUUUGCUGGAACCGGCUAAAAUUUUGAUCCAACUGACUUUUUUUGGUUUUCUUAGUUGCUCAGAUUGUUUUUUUGCUGGAACAUAGUGCUGCAAAAUUGACGAUGACGGUGAGCCGGCGGCGGCGACGCCAUGCUUCCAUGGGGUGCGCGAUCUGCUGGAACCGGCUUUGGCCGCAAGCUCCAGUAGGCUUUCAGUGGAGCUGCAUCUCACAGAUCGAUGGGUGGCGCUGGGAACGACGGUGAGAUUGGAAGGGCAUGUGACAAUGGCAACGGCGAGCGGCGGCGAGGUGCAGCGAGCUGUGUGGACGGACGUGGAGGACGAUGGGGCGGCGACCACGCCGUGCGUGGAGCGAGCGGGAGGCUGUGCGCGUGUAAAUCGCUAGUUGUUUUAGGAUAGAAAAGAAGGAGUCAACGGCUGUUAGUUGCCAGAUCAGACGUCUGCGGUGCGACCGGCCGAAAUUUCGGCCGGCGCACCGACGCCUAUCACUCGCCUACUUUAUAAGGCUGCCUAAUUUAUUGAUCAAACUUUUAGCUGUUCACGUCUGAUUCACUCGGUCAAACUUUGUUUUAUUGAGCGGACAAACUUUUUUUAAUAGGACAAACAUGUGACUUGAAUGAAAGAUGUGUCAGAACAAUUUUCAUGUGUCACGCCAAAUUGGUUGUACAUAACUUUAUUUGUAUGUAACGCUGUAUCUUUAAAUCUUCACGGUUAAUAUAUAGAAUUGAUGGCC
RNAcentral lists this ribosomal RNA (1796 nucleotides) under Triticum aestivum (bread wheat). RNAcentral's name for it is "partial small subunit ribosomal RNA". Lineage: Eukaryota; Viridiplantae; Streptophyta; Magnoliopsida; Poales; Poaceae. The record is from RNAcentral.